Molecule: ribosomal RNA, 253 nt
Filed under: uncultured bacterium
Lineage: Bacteria
Description: partial 16S ribosomal RNA
Rfam family: Bacterial small subunit ribosomal RNA
Source: RNAcentral
UACGUAGGGUGCGAGCGUUAUUCGGAAUUACUGGGCGUAAAGGGUGCGUAGGCGGUCGGGUAAGUCUGAUGUGAAAUCUCACAGCUUAACUGUGAAACUGCAUUGGAUACUAUCCGGCUCGAGGAAUGGAGGGGAGACUGGAAUACUUGGUGUAGCAGUGAAAUGCGUAGAUAUCAAGAGGAACACCAGUGGCGAAGGCGAGUCUCUGGACAUUUCCUGACGCUGAGGCACGAAAGCCAGGGGAGCAAACGGG